RNAcentral lists this ribosomal RNA (1532 nucleotides) under Corynebacterium jeikeium. RNAcentral describes it as "16S ribosomal RNA". It matches the Rfam family "Bacterial small subunit ribosomal RNA". Lineage: Bacteria; Bacillati; Actinomycetota; Actinomycetes; Mycobacteriales; Corynebacteriaceae. RNAcentral also lists the same sequence under 1 other name. The record is from RNAcentral.
UUUGAUGGAGGGUUUGAUCCUGGCUCAGGACGAACGCUGGCGGCGUGCUUAACACAUGCAAGUCGAACGGUAAGGCUCCAGCUUGCUGGGGUACACGAGUGGCGAACGGGUGAGUAACACGUGGGUGACCUGCCCUGCACUUCGGGAUAAGCCUGGGAAACUGGGUCUAAUACCGGAUAGGACCGCACCGUGAGGGUGUGGUGGAAAGUUUUUUCGGUGUGGGAUGGGCCCGCGGCCUAUCAGCUUGUUGGUGGGGUAAUGGCCUACCAAGGCGGCGACGGGUAGCCGGCCUGAGAGGGUGGACGGCCACAUUGGGACUGAGACACGGCCCAGACUCCUACGGGAGGCAGCAGUGGGGAAUAUUGCACAAUGGGCGGAAGCCUGAUGCAGCGACGCCGCGUGGGGGAUGACGGCCUUCGGGUUGUAAACUCCUUUCACCAUCGACGAAGGGUUUCUGACGGUAGAUGGAGAAGAAGCACCGGCUAACUACGUGCCAGCAGCCGCGGUAAUACGUAGGGUGCGAGCGUUGUCCGGAAUUACUGGGCGUAAAGAGCUCGUAGGUGGUUUGUCGCGUCGUCUGUGAAAUUCCGGGGCUUAACUCCGGGCGUGCAGGCGAUACGGGCAUAACUUGAGUACUGUAGGGGAGACUGGAAUUCCUGGUGUAGCGGUGAAAUGCGCAGAUAUCAGGAGGAACACCGGUGGCGAAGGCGGGUCUCUGGGCAGUAACUGACGCUGAGGAGCGAAAGCAUGGGGAGCGAACAGGAUUAGAUACCCUGGUAGUCCAUGCCGUAAACGGUGGGCGCUAGGUGUGGGUUUCCUUCCACGGGAUCCGUGCCGUAGCUAACGCAUUAAGCGCCCCGCCUGGGGAGUACGGCCGCAAGGCUAAAACUCAAAGGAAUUGACGGGGGCCCGCACAAGCGGCGGAGCAUGUGGAUUAAUUCGAUGCAACGCGAAGAACCUUACCUGGGCUUGACAUAUACAGGAUCGCGCCAGAGAUGGUGUUUCCCUUGUGGCUUGUAUACAGGUGGUGCAUGGUUGUCGUCAGCUCGUGUCGUGAGAUGUUGGGUUAAGUCCCGCAACGAGCGCAACCCUUGUCUUAUGUUGCCAGCACGUUGUGGUGGGGACUCGUAAGAAACUGCCGGGGUUAACUCGGAGGAAGGUGGGGAUGACGUCAAAUCAUCAUGCCCCUUAUGUCCAGGGCUUCACACAUGCUACAAUGGUCGGUACAGUGGGUUGCCAGUCCGUGAGGGCGAGCUAAUCCCGCAAAGCCGGUCUCAGUUCGGAUCGGGGUCUGCAACUCGACCCCGUGAAGUCGGAGUCGCUAGUAAUCGCAGAUCAGCAACGCUGCGGUGAAUACGUUCCCGGGCCUUGUACACACCGCCCGUCACGUCAUGAAAGUCGGUAACACCCGAAGCCAGUGGCCUAACACAUUUUGUGGGGGAGCUGUCGAAGGUGGGAUUGGCGAUUGGGACGAAGUCGUAACAAGGUAGCCGUACCGGAAGGUGCGGCUGGAUCACCUCCUUUCUAAGGAG